GGCCAGGUAGCUCAGUCGGUAGAGCAGAGGACUGAAAAUCCUUGUGUCGGCGGUUCGAUUCCGUCCCUGGCCA
Molecule: transfer RNA, 73 nt
Filed under: Omnitrophica bacterium RIFCSPHIGHO2_02_FULL_45_28
Lineage: Bacteria; Pseudomonadati; Candidatus Omnitrophota
Also listed under: 7 other names
Description: tRNA-Phe
Rfam family: tRNA
About the family: Transfer RNA (tRNA) molecules are approximately 80 nucleotides in length.
Source: RNAcentral